Molecule: transfer-messenger RNA, 433 nt
Filed under: Victivallales
Lineage: Bacteria; Pseudomonadati; Lentisphaerota; Lentisphaeria
Also listed under: 2 other names
Description: GWF2-44-16 sp001803225 Standard tmRNA
Rfam family: transfer-messenger RNA
About the family: Bacterial tmRNA, also known as 10Sa RNA or SsrA, is named for its dual tRNA and mRNA-like properties. Its role is to liberate the mRNA from a stalled ribosome.
Source: RNAcentral
GGGGGCGUACUGGUUUCGACGUGUAGCGUCGUCUGUUGAGAGCAUGCCGAGCUUUGGUUAUGUGCUCGUUAAAGAAGAACCAAAACAAUACGUGCAGAGUCUCAAAACUCUGUCGGCAGUUUGCUUGCCUUGCUUUUUGCAGGUGUUUCAGCUCUUUUUGCAGCUGUUCCGCUUCGCAGAAAGCAGUUUGCUGCAGCGUAACUGCGACCUUGUAGAAAAAACGUGUCUAUCAGUUUGAUCUACUCGUAUUAACCAAGAUAGGACUGACAAGCAAGAUUACUCUGUUGUGGUAGCUUGUUUAGUAAUACAAUAACAGACCAUAUCAAAAACUCUGGUCACUGCGGGUUUGAUGUGGUAGUUGCAGGGACUGAGCAUGGAGCGCUUAACACGCGGUGAAAUACGGACAUGGGUUCAAUUCCCAUCGCCUCCACCA